RNAcentral lists this ribosomal RNA (488 nucleotides) under uncultured bacterium. RNAcentral describes it as "bacterial SSU rRNA". It matches the Rfam family "Bacterial small subunit ribosomal RNA", at positions 376 to 881 of the family's 1533-position model. The record is from RNAcentral.
CGAAAGCCUGAUGCAGCAACGCCGCGUGAAGGAAGAAGGGUUUCGGCUCGUAAACUUCUAUCAACAGGGACGAAAAAAAUGACGGUACCUGAAUAAGAAGCCCCGGCUAACUACGUGCCAGCAGCCGCGGUAAUACGUAGGGGGCAAGCGUUAUCCGGAAUUACUGGGUGUAAAGGGAGAGUAGGCGGCAUGGUAAGUUAGAUGUGAAAGCCCGAGGCUUAACCUCGGGAUUGCAUUUAAAACUAUCAAGCUAGAGUACAGGAGAGGUAAGUGGAAUUCCUAGUGUAGCGGUGAAAUGCGUAGAUAUUAGGAAGAACACCAGUGGCGAAGGCGACUUACUGGACUGAAACUGACGCUGAGGCUCGAAAGCGUGGGGAGCGAACAGGAUUAGAUACCCUGGUAGUCCACGCUGUAAACGAUGAGUGCUAGGUGUCGGGGGGGAACCCUCGGUGCCGCAGCUAACGCAAUAAGCACUCCACCUGGGGAGU